This 349-nucleotide long non-coding RNA is filed under the name Elaeis guineensis (African oil palm). Its description in RNAcentral is "long non-coding RNA (EGUI_LNC023378)". The record is from RNAcentral. Lineage: Eukaryota; Viridiplantae; Streptophyta; Magnoliopsida; Arecales; Arecaceae.
AUCUUUAUUGAAAUAAAAAUUAUAGUUAUCUUUUGCUAGCACAGAUACAGAAAUCAGAUUUCUACUGACUAUAGAUAUAAAAUAAUAGUCUUUCAAAAUUAAACUAAUUUUUAAUGAUAAUCGUAGAGGAUAGGCUCCGACAGUCACAGUAGUAACUCUUGCUCCAUUACCGAUCCAGAGAGUGAUCUCACCUUCUCUUAGCCCUCUAACUUCUUUCAGACCCUGUAUAGAAGUGCACAAGUGAGCACUUGAAUUAGAAUCUAGAACCCAACUAGAAGAAAAAAAAUCAUUAGAUUAGCUUUAAUUACGAGCAAAUCAGACAUAUCUUCAGAAGAUCUAUCUUUCUUCC